AUAACAAUCACUUGGGCAUUACCAGCUUCCUCGUCUGGGAUUCUGCAGCACAUUGUACAGAAAUUUUAGCUGUAUGGGUUUAUUUAAGGGAGCUACCUCUUCCUUUCAUGACACACUCUCAAAGAAUGACAUCAUUGCAAGAAGGGGCACUUCUUUGUAAAGGAAGCAAGACUCUUGAAAGGGAAAAAUGUAGUCAUCAUUCCAAAUUGCUCCGAAGGUCAGCAAUUGUGUUGCUGCAACAGCCAACCUUUCUGCUGAGACAAUCCUGUCUCACUUCUCAGCAGCAGCUCUCAGAUCUGAUAGAAAAGCAGCCUUCUGUGCCCCAAAAUUUGCUGUUUUCACCUUGUUCUUAGGCAGAUUUUAGGUGUCUCCUUAGGUUGGGAUUGUAUAAACACACAUCAGUGUUGACCAUCAGAUUAUGAAAUAUAUUUACACUGAGUGCAAAAGAAAAUCUCUCACAUCUUCCUCUGGCCAAGCCAGGAUUUCAGACUCUCUGCUUUGUGCAGAGGCUGAGGCAAAGUUACAGCAGUGGAUGCAAAAGUGAGAUAAUCACUUAUGUUAGGACAGGAGAGAAGGGAAGCUACAGUCUCCAAAGUAAAUCAUAUUUAUGGUGUGUGACUGUUCCUUCAGAUUUCUGAACAAGAUUUCUGAACAUUUUUAACCUCCCCAGUAUUUUAUCCUUCUCACUUUGCCCUGGCAGUGGUACAUAUUUCCUGUCCAGGUUGUGCCAUCCUCUAGAAAAGCUCAAUUUUUAAAAAAAUGUUUUCAGUUUUAUGUGGUCCCACAAAAAAAAAAAAAAAUUAAAACCAAACAAUUUAAUCUGGCAAACUGAAUAUAUGUGAGAGAGCUCAAGCUAUUGUUGUGGAAAAUGCUGGCUGAUAUAUGGAUCACAGGGAUGAAAUUCCAAUGUAGAAGUGUGCUGAAUAGACAAGGCAGGGAAGCAGGUUGUGCCAUGUCAAGGUUUUCUUCUGAGGUUACCACAGGGGAGCCAGGUGUGCUCCAGAUAGUCCUACAAAUGAGAAUUUAGGAGUCCUACAGCUUGCUUACUACCCUCAGAUA
RNAcentral lists this long non-coding RNA (1059 nucleotides) under Chloebia gouldiae (Gouldian finch). Its description in RNAcentral is "Erythrura gouldiae (Gouldian finch) lncRNA (ENSEGOG00005012009.1)". The record is from RNAcentral. Lineage: Eukaryota; Metazoa; Chordata; Aves; Passeriformes; Passeridae.